GUCAACUUGGAUUCUCUGAAAGGGAUAGUGAGGUUACGCUAGAAGCUUCGGGGGCUUCCUCCAUCCUGCACAGAUGGCGCAGGAUCUAUAGUAUCUGUUUGUCAGACAGGUAAUUCUUGGUACUUCAUAGUAUUUGUUGAUCAAAGAGUUCAUGAGGGUCUUGGACAAGUGUGAUCCUCCAUGGUUCCACUAGACCACUGAUGAGUACAUGCUCUUGGGUAAAGAGAACUUGAGAUUGUUGGAAUACAGCCCGUCUCAAAGGGUUGCCCCUUUCUGUUUCCAGCUUUGUAUAUCUUCAGGAUCAGCAGCUGAGAUCUGUG
Molecule: non-coding RNA, 320 nt
Organism: Pelobates cultripes (western spadefoot toad)
Lineage: Eukaryota; Metazoa; Chordata; Amphibia; Anura; Pelobatidae
Source: the annotation of a GenBank genome assembly